Molecule: ribosomal RNA, 481 nt
Filed under: uncultured bacterium
Lineage: Bacteria
Description: partial 16S ribosomal RNA
Rfam family: Bacterial small subunit ribosomal RNA
Source: RNAcentral
AUUGAACGCUGGCGGCAGGCCUAACACGUGCAAGUCGAGCGGAUGAAGGGAGCUUGCUCCUGGAUUCAGCGGCGGACGGGUGCGUAAUGCCUAGGAAUCUGCCUGGUAGUGGGGGAUAACGUCCGGAAACGGGCGCUAAUACCGCAUACGUCCUGAGGGAGAAAGUGGGGGAUCUUCGGACCUCACGCUAUCAGAUGAGCCUAGGUCGGAUUAGCUAGUUGGUGGGGUAAAGGCCUACCAAGGCGACGAUCCGUAACUGGUCUGAGAGGAUGAUCAGUCACACUGGAACUGAGACACGGUCCAGACUCCUACGGGAGGCAGCAGUGGGGAAUAUUGGACAAUGGGCGAAAGCCUGAUCCAGCCAUGCCGCGUGUGUGAAGAAGGUCUUCGGAUUGUAAAGCACUUUAAGUUGGGAGGAAGGGCAGUAAGUUAAUACCUUGCUGUUUUGACGUUACCAACAGAAUAAGCACCGGCUAACUUC